GUGUAGGAUAACGUUGCGUCAGCAACGGCCCGUAGGGCGAGCGAAGCGAGUCAUCCUGCACGACCCACCA
This 70-nucleotide small RNA is filed under the name Escherichia coli. Its description in RNAcentral is "partial RtT sRNA". It matches the Rfam family "RtT RNA", at positions 55 to 130 of the family's 130-position model. Rfam says of the family: This family represents a bacterial cis-regulatory element known as RtT RNA. The exact function of RtT is unknown although it is thought that it may be involved in changing the cellular response in relation to amino acid starvation. Lineage: Bacteria; Pseudomonadati; Pseudomonadota; Gammaproteobacteria; Enterobacterales; Enterobacteriaceae. The record is from RNAcentral.